CAUACAGCUCAUCCUUCGCAGUACCGACAGUCAGAACACUGCAAAACGACCGCUGAGCAGCUUCUAUUUAUUUUUUACUUUUUUAAAAAAUAUUUUUGAAUCAUACGCCAAAUUUAAUUUAAAGAAAAUGUUUUUAAUAAUUUAAGAAAAUAUAACAAUUUAUUUAAAAGUUCUUUACCAUGUUCUUAUAGUGUAAACAAGGAUAAUUUCACCAAACUGUUGAAAAGGACGUGAGUAAGGACAAAUCAAAGAAAAUACCCUAGCGUCAAACAUCGUGCACAACUGUCUUUCAAUUGCUAGCAGCUUGAUACGCAGACAAGAGUGAGGUAGUUGGUUGUAUAGUACCAUAUAAUCAAUUUGGAACGUACUAUACAAUCGGCUAACUUUUCUUCUGUCAUGUUAAUACAACUUCUUGAAUGGCUGCAGUUCAAUAAUUUACUUUAGUCUAAGAACCUUGUUCAAUAUUAUCUAUAGUCUUUAUGCAACAUAACACAAUUAUAGAAAUAGUCCACAAAAUAUUGAAAACUCUCAGAAGUGGAACCGGAUUAUAUCAAAUCAUCAAAAAAAAAUUAAAAGAAAAGCGUGUUAAAUGAAUUAAAAGAAAAAUUUUGAAAAUACUUCAUCUAAUUUUUAGCUGAGAUAUAUAUAU
Molecule: long non-coding RNA, 649 nt
Organism: Daktulosphaira vitifoliae (grape phylloxera)
Lineage: Eukaryota; Metazoa; Arthropoda; Insecta; Hemiptera; Phylloxeridae
Exons: 3
Source: RefSeq, a predicted model, not a curated record